GAUGAACGCUGGCGGCGUGCUUAACACAUGCAAGUCGAGCGAAGCACUUAAGUUCGAUUCUUCGGAUGAAGACUUUUGUGACUGAGCGGCGGACGGGUGAGUAACGCGUGGGUAACCUGCCUCAUACAGGGGGAUAACAGUUAGAAAUGGCUGCUAAUACCGCAUAAGACCACGGUACUGCAUGGUACAGUGGUAAAAACUCCGGUGGUAUGAGAUGGACCCGCGUCUGAUUAGGUAGUUGGUGAGGUAACGGCCCACCAAGCCGACGAUCAGUAGCCGACCUGAGAGGGUGACCGGCCACAUUGGGACUGAGACACGGCCCAGACUCCUACGGGAGGCAGCAGUGGGGAAUAUUGCACAAUGGGCGAAAGCCUGAUGCAGCGACGCCGCGUGAAGGAUGAAGUAUUUCGGUAUGUAAACUUCUAUCAGC
Molecule: ribosomal RNA, 430 nt
Filed under: uncultured bacterium
Lineage: Bacteria
Description: bacterial SSU rRNA
Rfam family: Bacterial small subunit ribosomal RNA
Source: RNAcentral